This is a non-coding RNA of Paramuricea clavata, 1425 nucleotides long. NCBI's taxonomy places the organism in Eukaryota, Metazoa, Cnidaria, Anthozoa, Malacalcyonacea, Plexauridae. The record is from the annotation of a GenBank genome assembly.
AUAACACUACUUGGAUGUUUACUAUGACUUGCUAUAAGGAUGAUAUACUUCUCUUUUUCAAUUUAGACUAACUGGUAAAGAAAAACGAGUCGGAAAUUUCGACCUGGUCUGGCACGACGGACCCGUGGCUGCAGAUGAUAUUACUGAAGCGGACUGUGUGCCGUCUCCUGCUUAUCCCACCAACAGCUUUUUAGGUAAUCUUCUUCAUUCCAUCACCCCCAUCGUACCCUUUUGUAUUCAUCUAAAUCAUUCCCCUCUUGCGGCCUCUUGCAGAUUCCUUCCAUGUUCUCGUAGCAAAUUUUCUAUAUUAUCUAUUCUAAUAAAAAUCUCCAAAUCAUCUCAUUCUUGCCUCUACUCAGUUGUGACUAUGCUUUCUAUUGCAGCUGUUCUUUUAACCUCCUCGUUUGUAUGAACGGAGUCAUUCAUUUCUAAUCAAAUGUCCAAACCAUUCUUGCUUUGAGUUCUUUUAACCUCCUCGUUUGUAAGAUAUUUUCGGAGUGACAUUUCUUGAAUCCAUAAAUUUUUUAUCAUUCAUUUCUAAUAAAAUCCCCAAACCAUCUCAUUCUUACUUCUAUUUUCUUGACUAUGCUUUCCAUUCCAGCUCUUUUUCCAACCUCCUCGUUUAUAAGAUGUUCUCGGAAUGAUAUUACUUAAAUCCAUCAAAUUUUCGUUCAUUCAUUUCUAAUGAAAUCUCUAAACCAUCUCAUUCUUACUUCUACUUUCUUGACCAUACUUUCCAUUCCAGCUCUUCUUCCAACCUCCUCAUUUGUAAGAUGUUCUCUCGGAGUGGUAUUCCUUGUAGCCACUGUAACAUUCUUACCUCUGUCUUUCUCCUUCAUUGCCCACUACAUUUUGAGUACAAAACAUAUUAGUCUCUGAUUAGUUACAGUGCGGGUCUCCCAUAUUUCAGGUUGUCUCAACGAUCGUGACAAACAACUCGCACAACUAUACAAAGACAAGCCAGAAAUACCAAAGAACUCUGUCUCAUAGUUGGACAAUCACCACUAUCAUCAACAUAGUCGAACUUUGCGCUCGAUUGCGAUAAACUGGCUUUGCCUUUGGACGCCAUGUUACCGAUGAAGGCGAUGAUAGCCAGGGACAGGAAGCAGUGACCAGUGUGUUUCUUCUAGAAGACUGAACGAACGAGUGAAUUUUCAGGCUAAAUUAUUCAAACUGCAAAAGAGAAUCAUACUUUGAAGACCAAAAUAUAUGUAAAAAUAUCGUUAACAUCGGUAGUUGUUGGCCAUAUUACAUAUAACAAAAUUUUACUGUCUCUAAUAGGGGUAAUCUGCGUAAGUUAUACGCGAGCGCAAAUUUCUACUUGCACUAGCUAGUGGAAUUUUGUUAAAAAAGUUUAUUUUUAAACCUGAAAAUGGAGAUAUAUUCCGAAAUGUUGUAAGUAAUAAAAUGAGCCAGUAUCUGUGA